UUUUUUUUUUUUUUUUUUUUUUUUGAGAAAGUUAUAAGUUACCACAAGAGUAUAAGAACUAUUUUGUUUUUCCUUUAGCUAAGAUGUUGCCUUUGUUUUUGGUUUUUGUUGCUGCUGUUCUUGUUUAAUUUUCUAGCUAGUUACUUAAUCUUCAUGUAAAGCUUCACACAGGGUCUAGUAUGUAGAAGACAUUCAAUAAAUGUUGGCAUGAAUGAAUGAAGCAAGAAGCCAUUUUAGCAAAUAAAAUUUUUAAUUUGCAUGUUUUCAAAUUGCUUAACUGAAAAUUUACCAAACAUUACUGAGUAACUUUAGGUGACAGUGAGUGAUAGAAGUAAUCUUUUAAUCUAAUAUUUUCUAAAUGGUUCUUUCUAUUUAGAUUAUUAAAUAUUUUGAAAACUUCUUUGUCAUUCAUUGAUCAUUAAGCCUAUAGCCAGUAUCUUUUAACUUUCUAAGACCUACAUUAAUAAACAUUAAAUUUUACAUAAGACAUUUUUCUGAUUUAUGCUUUUAUGCUGAAAUUUUAAUCUAAACUGCAGGUACUUUUAUUUCAACCAUAGUGAUUUAAGUUUGUAUUAGAUUGAAGACAGUAUGUUUAUUUACAACUCUUUCUGUUAGACACACUUUGUUAUUUUUGCAUGUGCCUUUAUAGGAUUUAGUAAGGGCCACAGAUUUCCUAUCACUAGUGACACCCUUACAUUUGGGGAAAAUUAUCAAUGAAAACCUCUAAAAUUGGACCAUACUACCACAGUUUAUGUAUGCUAUAGAAUUUAUUUUGAGAUUGAUAACAUACUUUAGAGGUGGUAUGGAUCAACAAAUGGACCCACAGAUUUUUCUUAUAUGUUAAGUGAACAGAGACAUAGGAAACUCAUAGAAAAAGAAACUAAAUGAAGAAUUUGGUUCCCAUAUUGAUGUUAUAAUAGAUGAUCAUUAUACCUUGACCCUCUUUCUCUGGUUCUGAUUGAAGAUUGAGACUUUGGAAGAGAAAUAAUAUGAAAAAUGGUAACUGAUUAUCAGACGACGUUAUUCAGAAAAAGAUUUUAUUUUCUGGAGAGUGACCUAAGAUCUCUUGAAUAAUAGAUUUCUGUGCUUCAUCUCACAGGAAUUAAAAGAAUUUAUUCACCUGGUAACUUGAUCAUCAGAUCAAGAUUUUAUUCACAAAAUGUUGGAGAAGACAGAAAAAUAUCAGUAAAAUUCUAAAACUGGAUAUGAUGGAGGUUAUCACAUAAAAUAGAUGAUAUAAGGCAGUUGACAAGGUGCCCAUGAUUAUGUAGUAGUAAAUACUGGGAAGAAGGAUGUGUUCAAGGACGUUACUUGUGGCCUCAGUUACUUACAUUCUGAAGUUAAGAAUGUAGGGAAUAAACUAAGCAAAAUCUUGAGAGACUUUAAUAUAAGAAAAUAAGUGCAACUUAAUGUAGGUAGUCAUCAGGCCUUAUUGGAACAAAACUCAAAAAGAACCCAAAAAA
Molecule: long non-coding RNA, 1463 nt
Filed under: Homo sapiens (human)
Lineage: Eukaryota; Metazoa; Chordata; Mammalia; Primates; Hominidae
Description: novel transcript, sense intronic to DLG1
Source: RNAcentral